This 380-nucleotide ribosomal RNA is filed under the name uncultured eukaryote. RNAcentral describes it as "partial 18S ribosomal RNA". It matches the Rfam family "Eukaryotic small subunit ribosomal RNA", at positions 592 to 976 of the family's 1831-position model. The record is from RNAcentral.
CAAUAGCGUAUAUUAAAGUUGUUGCAGUUAAAAAGCUCGUAGUUGGAUUUGUGGCGUACGGUGUGUUCCGGGCACUUGUUGUCUGAGUAACCUGCUGUUGCCAUCCUUGGGUGGAACCUGUGUGGCAUUAGGUUGUCGUGCAGGGGAUGCCCAUCAUUUACUGUGAAAAAAUUAGAGUGUUCAAAGCAGGCUUAUGCCGUUGAAUAUAUUAGCAUGGAAUAAUGAGAUAGGACUUUUUUGCUUUUUUGUUGGUUUGCGCAAAGAGGUAAUGAUUAAUAGGGACAGUUGGGGGUAUUCGUAUUCCAUUGUCAGAGGUGAAAUUCUUGGAUUUUUGGAAGACGAACUACUGCGAAAGCAUUUACCAAGGAUGUUUUCAUUAA